This 283-nucleotide ribosomal RNA is filed under the name Clostridioides difficile. RNAcentral describes it as "partial 23S ribosomal RNA". It matches the Rfam family "Bacterial large subunit ribosomal RNA", at positions 505 to 788 of the family's 2925-position model. The record is from RNAcentral. Lineage: Bacteria; Bacillati; Bacillota; Clostridia; Peptostreptococcales; Peptostreptococcaceae.
GAGGGAAAGGUGAAAAGAACCCCGGGAGGGGAGUGAAAUAGAACCUGAAACCCUGCACUUACAAGCUGUGGAAGCACAUUUCUUGUGUGACCGCGUACUUUUUGUAGAACGGGCAAACGAGUUACGUUAAGUAGCAAGGUUAAGCACUUAAGGUGCGGAGCCGUAGCGAAAGCGAGUUUUAACUGAGCGUUCAGUUACUUGACGUAGACCCGAAACCGGGCGACCUACCCAUGAGCAGGAUGAAGCGAAAGUAAAAUUUCGUGGAGGUCCGAACCCACGAGCG